UGGGGAGUCGCCAAGCGGUAAGGCAGGGGCCUUUGAAGCCCCCAUUCCAUGGUUCGAAUCCAUGCUCCCCAGCCA
RNAcentral lists this transfer RNA (75 nucleotides) under Candidatus Peribacteraceae bacterium. RNAcentral's name for it is "tRNA-Gln". It matches the Rfam family "tRNA". Rfam says of the family: Transfer RNA (tRNA) molecules are approximately 80 nucleotides in length. Their secondary structure includes four short double-helical elements and three loops (D, anti-codon, and T loops). RNAcentral also lists the same sequence under 1 other name. Lineage: Bacteria; Candidatus Peregrinibacteriota; Candidatus Peribacteria; Candidatus Peribacterales. The record is from RNAcentral.